UAGAAUAUAUGCUGCUAUCCAAUUAGAGAAUAAGAUGUCCUGGAACAACAACAAAAAAAAGGAAAAAAUGAUACGGUUCUCUCUACGAGAUACAUGUAUAAAUAGAUGUUCCAUGGAAGGAGCACAACAGACCAGUCACAGAAGCUACCAAGCUAGCUAGAGGUGACAAGCAGAGCAGAAGCCUUACAUGUCAAUAAGGGCCUGCCUCUGAUAGCCAAGGAUGACUUGCCUAUGUCCUUUGUUUACAAAGGAUCAGAAUUGUGGACCUUUGUGUUGGUUCGUAGGCAGUCUCCUUGGCUAGCCUGAGUGGCCCCUAUUGCUCAUGCUAGGCUCAAUCGAGACUCUUUGACUUGCUGCACACAAUUAGACACAGGAGCCUCCUCGACCUGUGCAUGGGUGCAUACAAUUACCGUGUGAUUGGUUGCCCAGCUCUCAACGCCUAGGCUCCUCACGAGUGUUGACUGCGCCUGCAUUUCUGAUUGGUUGGCUGCACGGCUGCGCCCGGAAUGUGCGGGUGCAAGCAAAUCUAUUUUACGCUCCUCGGCGGCUGCCGGCAACCAAUCAAGAGAAAGAUGCUUCAGGCGGAGAGUUUCACUGCUCAUCGUGUCUACUGAUCUAUUGUUAUGUUGCUCGCCAGCCCCUUUGGUCACCGAAGUCCAAACCCUAAAGCUGUUCAACAAAGAGUUGUACUCCCUCCCUCGGUUCCAAAAUAAAAUUCGUUUUAACUUUUUAA
Long non-coding RNA from Zea mays, 733 nucleotides. Lineage: Eukaryota; Viridiplantae; Streptophyta; Magnoliopsida; Poales; Poaceae. The record is from RefSeq and is marked validated.